Molecule: long non-coding RNA, 1075 nt
Organism: Anarrhichthys ocellatus (wolf-eel)
Lineage: Eukaryota; Metazoa; Chordata; Actinopteri; Perciformes; Anarhichadidae
Exons: 3
Source: RefSeq, a predicted model, not a curated record
UAUAAAGUCUGUACAUCGUGUAAGCUACAUGUUGUGCUUUUCACCCAAACGCAGACUGAGCGGCCCCCCUAACCCGUCCUGAAACCCCGCUGCAGCUGCAGGUCUUGAGAGCCACCCCAGCUCUUCCCUCUGUUUGGCCUCACCACAUCAACAGACAUGAUCAUCAGACUGGGCAGGCUGACACCCGGAUACUUCCGCCUCCUCCAGAGGCAAGUGGCCGGUGAGGUGCAGACGCAGCCACAGGACCGCGCCGUCAACCAGAUAGCCAUGAUGCUGGCCAUCAUGGGCCUGAGCUUGUCCUACUACAGUGCCAGACAGAUGACGGAGAAGGUCCAGGUCCAGCCUGUGCCCUGAAGAGACUUCACUACUCUGAUUGUGGAGUUAACGGAUGAGCCAAUGAGAAGUGGGGGGGAGGGUGGGGGGGGGGGGCAGGUGCAGAGACGCAGCAGUGUCAUCCAGGACUGCACUUUUCUGACCUCGUAGUCAGUCACACUCAAGACACUGAAUAUCUGGGAUCCCUCACACACCAUGUGUUUUCUGUACUCGUUGUCAGGGCUUUGUGGGGGAUGGCUCACUUGGGUUGUGGAUAAGACUGCGGUUUUAUGGACUGGUUUGGUUGGGUGAUCAAAACCAGCUGACUGCCAACUGGGUCUGACCAUUAGUCAUUACAAAAGUACAUGCUUGCAAGAUGCUGUCUAUACUGUUCUGAGCUACAAAAAGGGAGGGGGAACUCUUGAAUAACUGUGAAUUUUGCCACAGCGCAACACUUGUCCAAAAGGAGUUAAAUAAAAGAACAGUAAUGCCUUUUUAAGGGAAAGGCUGACUGCAAUUGAGAUGUACCUUGUGAUGAAGUGAUGGCAGGCCCAGGACAGGGUUAAAGGCGAUUCAAAUUUAGCCCAAACCGUUUUUUGUUUCAGGUUUUCUGUAAUUCUUUGUUCCUUCUCGAGAGAACCUUGCAGAUCCUUGUGAACACAUUAAGAGCUGUAUUCACAAACAUACAGUAUAUACUUGUGAAAUGUAUCUGUCGGGUGUCAAAGAUUCAGUGAAUAGUUGCACAAAAGUGCAUUUUUGUUUU